UCAUCAAGUUUUACGAACAUCACUGCUUUUCUGAUUCGGCAAGGCCCCAGACGAUUCAUAUAUCAAACGGACCAGGCAGACUGUUAUGACAACAAGUUUAAGUUGCUCUCCAGUUGCUUGUGGAACAAAUUUAUGAGAUGUGGCAGUCAAAAUUACAUAGUACUAGGCAUAGAAGAAUACAUAACUGUCUCAUGGGUUCGCGUGAGAGCUGUGCGAACUGAAAUAGAACCCUGGCUAAAUAACUCGUUCCCAUGGACCUACAUUGCACCAGCCGAGCUGUACUACAUUGGAGAUUUUCCUGAAGGGACUGCUCGUUCUCCCGACGGGUUAAAAGGACCACAGGUUGCCGACCUGCGCACCCAACGACUCCCAACUCCUGACGAUCUUCUCAAUGCUCCUAAAGACCAGUUUGCGAAAAUCGACAAGUGUGUGGCCAAAAGGAUCUUCGACAGCCUCAACGGAACCACCUGGAGGAGGACUCUCUCCUCUCCACGUUGUGACAUCUGGCAGACAAAUCACGCCCUUUUCACAGUAUGGACCUAUGAAUGCCCCGACCCGGACUUGGUCCCAACAGCAAAGCUCGCUCUGCAAGGCUGGUAUGAGGAUUAUUAUCGAAAGUGGGACUGGGAAUUUUGGGGAUUUCAACAAAGAGAAUUUCAAAACUGGGUGUUACCUUGUCUCAGUCAAUCAAAUAAUUAUUGGAUAAAAUAUCAGUAUGUUGCCACUGUCUACUCCAAAGAAGUCACCAUAUGGCCCGGAGCUUUCUGGAGACCCGAGCCAUAUGUGAACCCAAGACCCUGGCGCAUGACGUGUCGACGCAACAACACUGAAUGCGUCAUAGCAUUGGCCAGGAAACCUUGCCAAACGCUCAUAGGCUGGGAAGACUACUGCAAAGACCAUUACGCAGAAGAGUAUGACACCCAUUCAUCGGAGGUUACUUGGAGGAAGAUCAACGGAGUGUGGCGGAGAGCAAUCGUGAGUGGAAAGACAUGUACUGAUGCGAUCCUGGGCUAUCACCUCCAGAAGCGCAAAAGCAUCCUUAAUGCCCCCGUUCCCUUCAUCCCACACCCUAUCAUCGCCAUUGCGGAGGGGCAUGCAUUCCGGAAAAGUCUGUGCCAGGGUGAAGUAGACCAUGGGUUCGACUGGGUUGGACCUAACCUUAUGUAUUCUAACCUUACCUGCUAUGUGACCAAAGAGACAUGGCAGCAAUGUGGAGACGGAAAGAAUCAACAUGAAUGUUACUGGUAUGAGGUCCUGGGCUCCUCUGUGGCCACCGUAGUCACCGACGUUGUGGAAGGAGUUGCCGACGUGAUAGGGGGAGGGCUCUCUAUUGUCGAAGGUUGGAUACUCAGUGCCCUGAGUAUGUUGUGGCCAUACUUGCUAGGCCUCCUGGGCGUUGCCGUGGUUUUGAUCAUGGGCAAGGUCAUCGUGGAGGUGUGGCUGAAGGAACUUUGUCGUUGCAGGGGGAAGGACUAUAAGCCCCUCCCCCCCAAGGCGGAGCGUAAAUCCGCAUAAAAGACGGCUGCUAUGUGCCUACGAGCCAUUCCUCUUCACGGCUGCGGUGGGGACCUGACCUGAAGAACAACCAUCAUCAGAGAUCAUGGCAUCUAACUCAUCUACUAACUCUUCUACUCCGACAUCACUCUUUGCGCCUAUUCAAGUACCGAUCUGCUGUGUGGGGUGUGGAAUCCCCGCAGAAUCCUAUGGAUUCCUUUGGGUUGCAUCGUCAACUCGGUGGUGUCACAAGUGUGUGCACACUCACUUUAGCUAUGUAACGGCUCUCUUCUGCGUCGAAGGACGUGGGGCCCCGUACAUUGCGGCUUCUACAUCUAGAAUCCUGGAGCGAGACCACAAGAUCGUGUGGACCUCUGCCUGGGGCCAAGACGACAACGAGCUAUCAUCGUCCAAACUGGGCAAUGGGCGGCUGUACCCCAUUGUUAGGAAAUUGUGGGAGAACCAAGUGUCCCGUCGUUGCCUACCUACUCUUCAUCUUUUGAAUGGCAAGGUGGUGGCUGUGGGAGAGUAUAUUCCCCCUGUUUGUCCAGUAUCUCCGGAUAUGUUCGUCGACGUCGGAACCCAAACUAGCACAGCAACACAGGAUCAGUGUUCCCAAACUGAGUUACUCAGUUCAUCUCACCAACCCUGCCAGACGACUGACACCGGUUCUUCAUCAUCCACCUACGAGGAAGAAUUCCAGGAGCUGUUGGCAGAGUUAUGUCUCCCAACACCUCCCCAAGAGGUGACUGUGGCUGGUUCUGCCCCAGCUCCUCCACCUCGGCCGAGUCCCCCACAUCUUCAGCCCCAGCCCUGCUCUACAUCUGACGAAGAUAUGGACACGGAUGUCUUGCUCCCACCACCGUCGAAUCUCACGGAGUACGACAUUGUGGAUGCGUGGACACCGUCUCCCUCUCCUACGUUCAUCGCUGAAGAAGAUGUCCUCUUUCUUUGCUGUGAUGAUGGACUGGACAACGGCCUUGACCUCUUUUGAGUAGGGCUGUGCGUGUUCUGCUGAGCACUGUCCGAUCUCAAGGAGGGGGUGUCAAGAACUCUGGUAUGAAAAUGUAUGUAAAUUUGAGAUCAGUCCAGGCACAUGCAGAACAACGGAUCAUAAAGUACCUAGAAGAUUGUGGCAGCCCUGUAUGUUGAUUAAAAAUGAUUGCUUAUUGUGUACUCUUUGUAUGAGAAUGUGUUCUCUGUAUUCUAUUGAUGUUGUAACAAGAGAAUAGAAUUGAAACAUCUAAUGUACUAAUGUUUUAUAUGAUUUUAAUGAUUGAAGUAACUUGUAUGAUUAAAAGUUACAUACAGAAUAAGGAGAAGUAAGGUUGGGGUGCUGAGGCUGACACAUGCUGUUAUUGCAACUCGGAAAGUCCCAGAAAGUCCUAGGCUAUGACACAUACAGCUAUAGCAACUCGGAAAGCCCCAAAAAGGCCCAAACACAUGGUUUUGCAAUGAGGUCAUUGUGUCUCAAGCGGGAGUCUAUUGCUCUCGGAAAGUCCCAAGAUUCACAAGCACAUUACCUCACAAGUGAGUCAUAGUGCCCAAAUUUGCAGAUGGGCGGGUUGCGCAACUAUGAAGCAGAGCACAAACUGCUCUUUGUCUUUCUCUCUCUCCCUCCCUCGGUGUACUCCCCAGGGAGGGAGAAAAGUAUAAAAACAUGAGACCGAGGUGAUACGGUGUUCUUCGUUCCCGGCGCUGAGACUCUACACAAGAGCGGCAAGAAGACCAGCAGAGGACUACACCCUGGAACCAAGAAAAGCGCCUCACAAGGAGGACAACGGAGCUCCUCACGCCGGACCAAAGGGCGAGUUCCACCAACCCAAUCUCUUGGUUCCUCAUUGGAUUUCCACACUCUGCACUCAACUCCACGAUCUCAAAAUACAUCGCAACGGACUUGGGGAACUGAACAAAAGUCACAGGAUUGAUCGCGAGCUGUUCGGCUGGAUGGCAGACAGUUCAUUUUGUUUCGGUUCCGAAGAGGAUUUUAUGAUUCAAAGACAAAGAUUCUGACCAAGGACUACAAGGAUUUCUGUUGCCCUGAUCCAAUCCCACCGAUGAGUAUGAGAUUCUGCCGCACCCCAAAGCCUUAUCUGAUAGAAAGAUGACAGUGUAGGGAAGUUUUUAGAGAAAGGUUGAAUUAAUCUAAAUUUUAUUAAUUUCUUUUGUAUGGUAAUCCUAGAGCAAAUUCUGUAUACCUGUCUUUUCCCCUGCCAAAGCUUGCUUAAUAAAUACAUAUAUCUUAAAAUUCUGA
RNA transcript from Gambusia affinis (western mosquitofish), 3748 nucleotides. RefSeq lists it as uncharacterized. The record is from RefSeq and is a predicted model, not a curated record. NCBI's taxonomy places the organism in Eukaryota, Metazoa, Chordata, Actinopteri, Cyprinodontiformes, Poeciliidae. The transcript is spliced from 2 exons.